This 594-nucleotide ribosomal RNA is filed under the name uncultured bacterium. RNAcentral's name for it is "bacterial SSU rRNA". It matches the Rfam family "Bacterial small subunit ribosomal RNA", at positions 338 to 954 of the family's 1533-position model. The record is from RNAcentral.
CCUACGGGAGGCAGCAGUGGGGAAUAUUGGGCAAUGGGCGAAAGCCUGAUCCAGCAAUGCCGCGUGAGUGAUGAAGGCCUUAGGGUUGUAAAGCUCUUUUACCAGGGAUGAUAAUGACAGUACCUGGAGAAUAAGCUCCGGCUAACUCCGUGCCAGCAGCCGCGGUAAUACGGAGGGAGCUAGCGUUGUUCGGAAUUACUGGGCGUAAAGCGUACGUAGGCGGUUAUUCAAGUCAGAGGUGAAAGCCUGGAGCUCAACUCCAGAACUGCCUUUGAAACUAGAUAGCUAGAAUCUUGGAGAGGUGAGUGGAAUUCCGAGUGUAGAGGUGAAAUUCGUAGAUAUUCGGAAGAACACCAGUGGCGAAGGCGACUCACUGGACAAGUAUUGACGCUGAGGUACGAAAGCGUGGGGAGCAAACAGGAUUAGAUACCCUGGUAGUCCACGCCGUAAACGAUGAUAACUAGCUGUUCGGGCUCUACGAGCUUGAGUGGCGCNGCUACGCAUUAAGUUAUCCGCCGUGGGAGGUACGGUCGCGAGAUAAACUACAAGAAGUAGACGCGNGAGACGUGCCGAGGACGACGACGAGGGAGUAGG